AAAAAAAGAAGAAGAUAAAGA
RNAcentral lists this small RNA (21 nucleotides) under Arabidopsis thaliana (thale cress). Its description in RNAcentral is "ATSL071490". Lineage: Eukaryota; Viridiplantae; Streptophyta; Magnoliopsida; Brassicales; Brassicaceae. The record is from RNAcentral.